Pelobates cultripes (western spadefoot toad) is the source of this 325-nucleotide non-coding RNA. The record is from the annotation of a GenBank genome assembly. NCBI's taxonomy places the organism in Eukaryota, Metazoa, Chordata, Amphibia, Anura, Pelobatidae.
CAUAAAUACUGACAGUUGCUAAACAGGGUAGAAUAAAAGGAGUUCAAGAGUAGUAUUGCAUAGACGUGCAAUUAAAUUCAGACGAAUUUCGGGCAAUUUGGAUGCUUCCGAAGUGCCAAAUUUCAGAAGUGAUUUAGAUUUCUGAAAAGUGGCAAAAUAAGAGGUAGGGUUAGGGUAAAGGAAGGGAGCCCUACAGAUGUUCCAAAAUUCAGGACUGGUGAAUUUCCAAACUGAACAAAAUGUUUUGAUCAUGCACAUCCCUAGUAAAGCAGUGUUAGGAUUUAAGUGCAAGAGACAAAAGCAGAAGCUUGUGGUUUACACCAAC